RNAcentral lists this ribosomal RNA (279 nucleotides) under uncultured bacterium. RNAcentral describes it as "partial 16S ribosomal RNA". It matches the Rfam family "Bacterial small subunit ribosomal RNA", at positions 506 to 784 of the family's 1533-position model. The record is from RNAcentral.
UGCCAGCCGCCGCGGUAAUACGAACUGUGCGAACGUUAUUCGGAAUCACUGGGCUUAAAGGGUGCGUAGGCGGCCUGUUAAGUAGGGUGUGAAAUUUGUCGGCUCAACCGGCAAACUGCAUUCUAAACUGGCAGGCUUGAGUGAGUCAGGGGUGUGCGGAACUUCCGGUGGAGCGGUGAAAUGCGUUGAUAUCGGAAGGAACGCCGGUGGCGAAAGCGGCACACUGGGGCUUUUCUGACGCUGAGGCACGAAAGCCAGGGGAGCGAACAGGAUUAGAUA